Long non-coding RNA from Erinaceus europaeus (western European hedgehog), 635 nucleotides. RefSeq lists it as uncharacterized. The record is from RefSeq and is a predicted model, not a curated record. Lineage: Eukaryota; Metazoa; Chordata; Mammalia; Eulipotyphla; Erinaceidae. The transcript is spliced from 3 exons.
AUGGCAGAACAGGCGCUCCAAGAAUGUCCCAACUCUCGUGGGAACUAGCAAUAGCCCGAGGGGACAGCGUGGCAGAUGUGACUGAGUCUGCACAAUUUCCCAGUAACUACCAUAUGGUUUUUUAUUACUCAUAUGCAUAAUAUAAAAAAUUGAAUCACAUGACACUUGUUCAGAAGAAGGAAGAAGAAAAAGAGAGAAGAAACUGAUUGAUGAUGAUGGGGUGGACAGUUAUGUGAUGGCUGGAUGAAUCUUGAGAUGCUAGUCUUUUCGAAAAGGCCACCAGGUUCCAGAUACCAAGAUGCCAACCAGACUUCCCUGGACAGACAAACCCAACAAUGUGUCCUGGAGCUCAGAUUCCCCAGAAACCUGCCCCACUAAGGAAAGAGAGAGGCAGGCUGGGAGUAUGGAUCGACUUGUCAACACCCAUGUUCAUUGGGAAAGCAAUUACAGAAGCCAGACCUUCCACCUUCUACACCCCAUAAAGAUCUUUGGUCCAUACUCCCAGAGGGGUAAAGAAUAGGGAAGCUAUCAAGCAAGGGGAUGGGAAUUGUGUGGAGUUAUACCCCUCUUAUCUUAUGGUUUUGUCAGUGUUUCCUUUUUCUAAAUAAAUACAAUAAAAUAAAAUAAGGAAGAAA